RNAcentral lists this ribosomal RNA (253 nucleotides) under uncultured bacterium. RNAcentral describes it as "partial 16S ribosomal RNA". It matches the Rfam family "Bacterial small subunit ribosomal RNA", at positions 524 to 776 of the family's 1533-position model. The record is from RNAcentral.
UACGUAGGGUGCAGGCGUUAAUCGGAAUUACUGGGCGUAAAGGGUGCGCAGGCGGUCCUGCAAGUCAGGCGUGAAAUCCCCGGGCUUAACCUGGGAAUGGCACUUGAAACUACGGGACUGGAGUAUGGCAGAGGGAGGUGGAAUUCCACGUGUAGCGGUGAAAUGCGUAGAGAUGUGGAGGAACACCGAUGGCGAAGGCAGCCUCCUGGGCCAAUACUGACGCUCAUGCACGAAAGCGUGGGGAGCAAACAGG